RNAcentral lists this non-coding RNA (100 nucleotides) under Paenibacillus mucilaginosus. RNAcentral's name for it is "Guanine sequence". It matches the Rfam family "Purine riboswitch aptamer". Rfam says of the family: Riboswitches are metabolite binding domains within certain messenger RNAs that serve as precision sensors for their corresponding targets. Allosteric rearrangement of mRNA structure is mediated by ligand binding, and this results in modulation of gene expression. The record is from RNAcentral. Lineage: Bacteria; Bacillati; Bacillota; Bacilli; Caryophanales; Paenibacillaceae. RNAcentral also lists the same sequence under 1 other name.
AUUUCAUACUGUUUUUCUUUUCGUAUAACCUUAAUGAUUGGAUUAAGGGUCUCUACUUGGAAACCGUAAAUUUCUAGCUACGAAAAAAUAUGUUCUUUGC